UGACUCUAGGCAUCGUGCCAUUUGCAUUAUCUUUUAUUCUUUAUUUCCUCAGCAGGUGGCAUUUUAUGUUGCUCAAAAUUUUUAUCUACUUAUCUUUGAGUAGAUAGCCGAAGGUCAAUUCACCUUAGAGAUGUCAAAUAGGUACUUGUCCUUGUUUUCAGUUUUGAACAGCUUCAUGGUCUUUGAUUGCGUUAAUGCUCGGUAGGUAUUGAUAGGAUCUGCUUUUGCUGAGGGAUCAUAUUAAAUUUAGUUGGGUGGGCCAGAUCUAAGUAAGUGACGAUUGACACCAGACUUGGACUUUGACUCCGUAGGCUCCUUUUUUCCUGCUAUUUCAGUUAGG
This 340-nucleotide long non-coding RNA is filed under the name Nicotiana benthamiana. RNAcentral describes it as "long non-coding RNA (NBEN_LNC036306)". Lineage: Eukaryota; Viridiplantae; Streptophyta; Magnoliopsida; Solanales; Solanaceae. The record is from RNAcentral.